RNAcentral lists this ribosomal RNA (445 nucleotides) under uncultured bacterium. Its description in RNAcentral is "bacterial SSU rRNA". It matches the Rfam family "Bacterial small subunit ribosomal RNA", at positions 331 to 795 of the family's 1533-position model. The record is from RNAcentral.
CCAGACUCCUACGGGAGGCAGCAGUCGGGAAUAUUGCGCAAUGGAGGAAACUCUGACGCAGUGACGCCGCGUAUAGGAAGAAGGUUUUCGGAUUGUAAACUAUUGUCGUGAGGGAAGAAAUUGACAGUACCUCAGGGGGAAGCUCCGGCUAACUAUGUGCCAGCAGCCGCGGUAAUACAUAGGGAGCAAGCGUUAUCCGGAUUUAUUGGGUGUAAAGGGUGCGUAGGCGGAGGUGCAAGUCAGCGGUCAAAUUGCGGGGCUCAACCCCGUACUGCCGUUGAAACUGCAUCCCUUGAGUGCGCGAGAAGUAUGCGGAAUGCGUGGUGUAGCGGUGAAAUGCAUAGAUAUCGCGCAGAACUCCGAUUGCGAAGGCAGCAUACCGGCGCCCGACUGACGCUGAGGCACGAAAGCGUGGGUAUCGAACAGGAUUAGAUACCCCGGUAUC